AAAACUCGCUUAUUUUAAUUCUAAAUCACUUUUCCAUGUGCCAGAUAGAUUUGACAUCGGCAGUUGAAUGAGAAAUGUGCUUCUGAUGGACCUCGAAUAGCUUCGGUCCAUGAACAGUGUGUUUGCGUCUCCAUCACGAGGCAUCAAGUCAAAAAUGUGUUCUUUGCAUAGCAACUGCCAAAAAUUGAAAGACAAAGCGAAUGGAAAGAGUACAAAACAUCUGCUUUGAUCCUGUCUCUUUCGCAAGUGAAGAAUGGCGUCAGUAGUUUCUUUAACAGCAAGGUUCCUGCCUUCCUGAGGGUGCUGGAGGAGGCGAGAGUUUCCAGGCCUCUGACGCUAACGGGAAGAAGAUUGCUGCCCAAAUAACUUCACUUUAUUGUUGUUGUCUCAGUUCUUUUGAAAGAGCGGGUCGUGGAAAGGCUGUCCCCAGUCAACGGUGUAUGGGAAGGGGGAAGUUAAACAAGAAACAUUCCGGACUUGUUAAAAUAAUAUACUUUACACUACUUAGAAGAACAAGAAGUAAAUGCAUCAAUGCAGAUAUCUAUGAAACGAAUGGCUCGCUGUUGUAUAGAAAUGAAUUUACAUAUUUAAUUUUACUUAUUGAAUUUACAUCUUUAAUUUUGUUUAUCAGACAUUUUAUAUGAGAAAAUGUAACUUACUUUUUUUUCAUUACUUAGCUUAUGUUCACUGUCGUUGGUUGGCCUUUGAAAUUGUGACCCAAGUUCUCCGUGUUGCUAAUGCUAAAUCAGUCAUCCUUUAUGCAAAGGCUUAUUUAUAAUUGACCGGGGGUCUAGGCUUGAAUGAUAAAAAAAACUUUGGAAAUAGGGCAACCGCAUAUGUGUGGCCCGAAGACUGACAUAGAAAUAAAGAUGUUGAGAAAAAAAGGAAAAAAAAAAAGGAAAAAGACUGUGGUUUCCAUUCUAAUACUUGUGAAACACUCAAACUACAACCCAUGCGUGAAUGCUGAUAGUAUUCUGUUCAGGGGCCGGUAAGUUGAUUAUACAAUAAGAAGUAAUUAUAUUUAGAAUAAAAAAGU
Macrobrachium nipponense is the source of this 1036-nucleotide long non-coding RNA. RefSeq lists it as uncharacterized. NCBI's taxonomy places the organism in Eukaryota, Metazoa, Arthropoda, Malacostraca, Decapoda, Palaemonidae. The record is from RefSeq and is a predicted model, not a curated record. The transcript is spliced from 3 exons.